CCGGGACCUGCGGCGUCGCCGGCGGGUUGCCUCCGCCCUCGGACCAGCCCCGCGCGAGCCGGGCUCCCCCGGCGCCCUCCCGCAUCCGCCGCUCCCGGCCCCGCCUGGCCGCAGGGCCCGGGUAGGAAGGACGGGACCGGCCCGGUGGAGACCUGGCCCCACUGCACGAGGGUCCCUGGAGAUGCCAUUCUGAGCCGAGAAGCGGCUGCUCUGGCCGAGGCCGUUUGCGUGGCAGCGCUUGCAGAGCAAAUCCUGCAACUGGUGUGGGCAGAAACCCAGUCCUCAGAAGUACAGGUAGAAACGUGGAGAUCCCAGCAGACCCCCGCAUCCUUCCUAACUAGGAAAUGAGCAGAGGCUGUGGCCGCACGCAGUCACGGGAGGCCUGGGUAAUUGUGUUCUCUUUCUUCUCCAUGUAUGGCCUAGAGCACCUCAU
Molecule: long non-coding RNA, 433 nt
Filed under: Theropithecus gelada (gelada)
Lineage: Eukaryota; Metazoa; Chordata; Mammalia; Primates; Cercopithecidae
Description: lncRNA (ENSTGEG00000011134.1)
Source: RNAcentral